CCCUAUGGGGUGCAGCAGGCAGUACAAUUACUCCCUUUUUAUUAAGAGAAAUGGGAUGUGAAGUUAUCACACUAAAUUCUCAGCUUGAUGGUCAUUUCCCAGCACGCAAUCCAGAGCCAACUGAAGAAAAUCUCUGGAUGCUUAAAAAAGCUGUAAAAGAUUUUGAUGCACGUUUAGGAAUUGCUCAUGAUGGUGAUGCAGACCGUAUGAUGGCUGUAGAUGAAAAUGGAGAGUACGUGUCAGGUGAUGAAAUGCUUGCUAUUUUUGCAUUAAGAGAAUGCAAAGAUUCGACAAAAAUAGUAGUGCCUGUGGAUACUUCAAUGAUGGUAGAUGAUUCGCUACCUCUUUCAGAAGUGGUACAUACACGUGUGGGUGAUGUGUAUGUUGCAGAAGAGCUAAAGAAAGUAGGUGCUCAAUUUGGGGGAGAGC
Molecule: ribosomal RNA, 429 nt
Filed under: uncultured prokaryote
Description: partial 16S ribosomal RNA
Source: RNAcentral